Molecule: ribosomal RNA, 467 nt
Filed under: uncultured bacterium
Lineage: Bacteria
Description: partial 16S ribosomal RNA
Rfam family: Bacterial small subunit ribosomal RNA
Source: RNAcentral
GACGAACGCUGGCGGCGUGCUUAACACAUGCAAGUCGAACGGAAAGGCCCUGCUUUUGUGGGGUGCUCGAGUGGCGAACGGGUGAGUAACACGUGGGUAACCUGCCCUUGACUUUGGGAUAACUUCAGGAAACUGGGGCUAAUACCGGAUAGGAGCUCCUGCUGCAUGGUGGGGGUUGGAAAGUUUCGGCGGUUGGGGAUGGACUCGCGGCUUAUCAGCUUGUUGGUGGGGUAGUGGCUUACCAAGGCUUUGACGGGUAGCCGGCCUGAGAGGGUGACCGGCCACAUUGGGACUGAGAUACGGCCCAGACUCCUACGGGAGGCAGCAGUGGGGAAUAUUGCACAAUGGGCGGAAGCCUGAUGCAGCAACGCCGCGUGCGGGAUGACGGCCUUCGGGUUGUAAACCGCUUUCGCCUGUGACGAAGCGUGAGUGACGGGAAUGGGUAAAGAAGCACCGGCUAACUACGU